CAUGCUAAACUUGACAUGUUUGUUGUGAGCCAAAUUUACCCAUUCUGUUUUAGGGUUUUAUAGUGAUGUUUUGUGAUGCUCGUGGGCUGAAAUUGUUGGUAGAAAACUGGUAGAGAUGAUGGGGAGAGUUAACCUAGGGUUAAAUGUGAGAAUGGUAGUGAUGUGAGUGGAAUAGUGUGAGGUUUUGAGGGUUUGAAAAGCUAAAUUUGGGGUUAGUGGUAAUUGGGGGCUAAAGUGAGUUAAUCCUAGUUUAAAAUGUCAUUUAGGACUUGUGGGAAAGCUUGGGUUGAGCAAAUGAGAAAAAUGAGAGACAAAGGUGAAAGCAAGAGCCAUUUCUAGGGUAAAUUGGGUGUUGAGGGGUCAAAUUUUGAAUCGGUGGAGUUUUCG
RNAcentral lists this long non-coding RNA (387 nucleotides) under Glycine max (soybean). Its description in RNAcentral is "long non-coding RNA (GMAX_LNC002481)". Lineage: Eukaryota; Viridiplantae; Streptophyta; Magnoliopsida; Fabales; Fabaceae. The record is from RNAcentral.